This 744-nucleotide long non-coding RNA is filed under the name Gallus gallus (chicken). Its description in RNAcentral is "lncRNA (ENSGALG00010000187.1)". Lineage: Eukaryota; Metazoa; Chordata; Aves; Galliformes; Phasianidae. The record is from RNAcentral.
CGAUAUAUCGUGACAUAAAGGUGCCACAUGGCGACAUAUUGCGACAUAAAGGCGUCGUAUCGCGCCGUAAAGCAGAAUAUCGCGACAUAAAGGUGCCACAUGGCGAUAUAUCGCGACAUAUCGCGACAUAAAGGUGCCGUAUCGCACCGUAUCGCGCUGUAAAGCAGUAUAUCGCGACAUAAAGGUGCCAUAUCGCACCGUAUCGUGAUAUAUUGCGACAUAAAGGUGCCACAUGGCGAUAUAUCGUGACGUAUCGCGACGCAUCGCGACAUAAAGGUGCCAUAUCGCACCGUAUCGUGACAGAAGGCAGUAUAUCGCGACAUGAGGCGCCAUACGAGGAUAUAUCGCGACACGUCGCGACGGAAAGGCGCACUAUGGCGAUAUAUCGGGACAUAUCGCGACAUAAAGGUGCCAUAUCGCACCAUAUCGUGACAGAACGCAGUAUAUCGCGCCAUGAGGUGCCCUAUGGCGACAUAUCGCGACAUAUCGCGACAUAAAGGUGCCACAUGGCGAUAUAUCGUGACAUAUCGCGACGCAUCGCGACAUAAAGGUGCCGUAUCGCACCGUAUCGUGCCGUAAGGCAGUAUAUCGCGACACGAGGUGCCCUAUGGCGACAUAUCACGAUAUAUCGUGACAUAAAGGUGCCACAUGGCGAUAUAUCGCGACAUAAAGGUGCCACAUGGCAAUAUAUCGCGACAUAAAGGCGCCGUAUCGCGACAUAUCGCGACACGUCGCGACGGAAAG